CGGAUUGAAGGCUGAAAUUCGCCUUCAUGAAGCUGGAAUUGCUAGUAAUGGCAGGUCAGCAUACUGCCGUGAAUACGUUCCCGGGCCUUGUACACACCGCCCGUCACACCAUGAGAGUUGGGAAUACCCGAAGCCUGUGAGCUAACUGUAAGGAGGCAGCAGUCGAAGGUAGAAUCAAUGAUUGGGGUGAAGUCGUAACAAGGUAAC
Molecule: ribosomal RNA, 207 nt
Filed under: uncultured bacterium
Lineage: Bacteria
Description: partial 16S ribosomal RNA
Rfam family: Bacterial small subunit ribosomal RNA
Source: RNAcentral